This 74-nucleotide transfer RNA is filed under the name Gemmataceae bacterium. RNAcentral describes it as "tRNA-Pro". It matches the Rfam family "tRNA". Rfam says of the family: Transfer RNA (tRNA) molecules are approximately 80 nucleotides in length. Their secondary structure includes four short double-helical elements and three loops (D, anti-codon, and T loops). The record is from RNAcentral. Lineage: Bacteria; Pseudomonadati; Planctomycetota; Planctomycetia; Gemmatales; Gemmataceae.
CAGGAUGUAGGAGAGCGGCGCAAUCCGCCGGUUUUGGGAGCCGGAGAACGUGGGUUCAAAUCCCACCAUCCUGA